AAUCCAUAGGUUAAUGAGGCGAACCGGGGGAACUGAAACAUCUAAGUACCCCGAGGAAAAGAAAUCAACCGAGAUUCCCCCAGUAGCGGCGAGCGAACGGGGAGGAGCCCAGAGCCUGAAUCAGCAUGUGUGUUAGUGGAAGCGUCUGGAAAGGCGCGCGAUACAGGGUGACAGCCCCGUACACAAAAGCGCAUGUGCUGUGAGCUCGAUGAGUAGGGCGGGACACGUGGUAUCCUGUCUGAAUAUGGGGGGACCAUCCUCCAAGGCUAAAUACUCCUGACUGACCGAUAGUGAACCAGUACCGUGAGGGAAAGGCGAAAAGAACCCCGGCGAGGGGAGUGAAAAAGAACCUGAAACCGUGUACGUACAAGCAGUGGGAGCACCCUUUGGGUGUGACUGCGUACCUUUUGUAUAAUGGGUCAGCGACUUAUAUUCUGUAGCAAGGUUAACCGAAUAGGGGAGCCGGAGGGAAACCGAGUCUUAACCGGGCGUUAAGUUGCAGGGUAUAGACCCGAAACCCGGUGAUCUAGCCAUGGGCAGGUUGAAGGUUGGGUAACACUAACUGGAGGACCGAACCGACUAAUGUUGAAAAAUUAGCGGAUGACCUGUGGCUGGGGGUGAAAGGCCAAUCAAACCGGGAGAUAGCUGGUUCUCCCCGAAAGCUAUUUAGGUAGCGCCUCGUGAAUUCAUCUCCGGGGGUAGAGCACUGUUUCGGCUAGGGGGCCAUCCCGGCUUACCAACCCGAUGCAAACUGCGAAUACCGGAGAAUGUUAUCACGGGAGACACACGGCGGGUGCUAACGUCCGUCGUGAAGAGGGAAACAACCCAGACCGCCAGCUAAGGUCCCAAAGUCAUGGUUAAGUGGGAAACGAUGUGGGAAGGCCCAGACAGCCAGGAUGUUGGCUUAGAAGCAGCCAUCAUUUAAAGAAAGCGUAAUAGCUCACUGGUCGAGUCGGCCUGCGCGGAAGAUGUAACGGGGCUAAACCAUGCACCGAAGCUGCGGCAGCGACACUGUGUGUUGUUGGGUAGGGGAGCGUUCUGUAAGCCUGUGAAGG
RNAcentral lists this ribosomal RNA (1055 nucleotides) under Salmonella enterica. RNAcentral's name for it is "partial 23S ribosomal RNA". It matches the Rfam family "Bacterial large subunit ribosomal RNA", at positions 161 to 1256 of the family's 2925-position model. RNAcentral also lists the same sequence under 1 other name. The record is from RNAcentral. Lineage: Bacteria; Pseudomonadati; Pseudomonadota; Gammaproteobacteria; Enterobacterales; Enterobacteriaceae.